RNA transcript from Etheostoma cragini (Arkansas darter), 2650 nucleotides. It is a transcript of the gene named calpain 12, with no coding region annotated. The record is from RefSeq and is a predicted model, not a curated record. The transcript has 23 exons. Lineage: Eukaryota; Metazoa; Chordata; Actinopteri; Perciformes; Percidae.
UUUGACUCCAGCUCGCCGCGGCCCCCGGCGCUCCGCAUACCUUUCUGGGCCAGGUCCCAUACGGCCCUCGCUGGCUGCGGUGGGUGUGCGCUGUUAACUGCAUUUAAGCACUGGCUGCUCAGUGCGUACACAUUCCGCAGAUAAAUAGUUAGACUGCAGUUUGACUGGCAACAUGGCGAACAGCAAGGAGGCACCUCGGGGAUCCAUCGAGAACCCGAUCAAGUUUAGGGAUCAGGACUUCCAGAGUCUCCUGGAAACGUGUCUGAAGUCCGGACAGCUGUUUGCGGAUCCAACCUUUCCAACUGAGCAGAAGUCCAUCGGCAUCCCGGAAGAUCCUAACCCCAAAAAGGCGAUCAAAUGGCAGCGACCCAAGGAAAUCUCCAAGAAUGCUGUGUUUGUGGAGGGCACGAUUGGAACCACUGAUAUCUGUCAGGGCCAACUGGGUAACUGUUGGCUGCUGGCUGCCCUGUCCUGUCUCACCAUGCACCCCCAACUCUUCGUGAAGGUGGUUCCAGCCAACCAAAGCAUGUCCCAGCCUUAUGCAGGGAUCUUCCAUUUUAUGUUCUGGCAGUAUGGUGAGUGGGUGGAGGUGGUUGUGGAUGACAGGCUGCCAGUAUGCGAAGGCCGUCUGCUCUUCAGCUACUCUCGCACCCGCAACGAGUAUUGGAGCGCCCUGGUGGAAAAGGCCUACGCCAAGUUAAUUGGAUGCUACGGAAGCUUGAAGGGGGGCAACAUUUCAGAGGGGAUGGAGGAUUUCACAGGAGGCAUUGCACGCUCGCUUAAGGUCAAAUCUCGUACCCCUCGUGUCCUCUGGAGGGCUCUGACAGCCGCCCUGUCUCGAGGCAGUCUGCUCAGCUGCUUCAUCAAGGCCUGCAGCACCCUUGAGAUUGGUAAAGUGACAGAAAACGGGCUGGUAAAGGGCCACGCUUACGCCAUCCCCACCACCGACAAGGUGAUGAAAGCGUCAGAUGAGGUUUUUUUGUUGAAGCUGAGGAACCCCUGGGGUUUUGUUGAAUAUCGCGGACCCUGGAGUGACAAGGGUAAAGAGUGGGAGGACGUGGUCAAAGCAGAGAAGGAAAGGAUUCAGCUGCAACAGAACGAAGAUGGAGAGUUCUGGAUCAGUACUGAGGACUUCUGCAGCCUGUUUGACGUUGUGGAGCUCUGCAGUGUGAAUCCUGACAAUCUUGAUGAGGAAAACACACCUGCCUCUACCUGGACCAUCAGUGAACAUCGAGGACUCUGGUUACAGGGGAGCUCUGCUGGUGGUAGCCGCAAAUACAACCGAUCCUUCUGGAAGAAUCCUCAGUUCCAGUUGGUUCUAACGGAGGGAGACCAAUCAGGACAGGUCUAUGAGGCGGGUGCUAAUGAGGUUUAUGAUGAGCCUGAAGGUGAGGAUGAUAAUGAGGAGGAUGAAGAUGACAUGUUGAUCCCAGAGGACAAGAAGAAAGCAGAGAAACAGAAGCAGAAAGGCAGACAGUGCACCGUGCUGGUGGAGCUGCUGCAGAAGAACCGCAGGAAGGACAAAGUCAACUUCCUCCAAAUAUCGUUCCAUAUUUACGAGGUUCCUCCUCAGCUCCAGGGCGCGUGUCUGAGUCGCAACUUCUUCAUGACUACUCGCCCUGUGGGUCGCUCUGGGAAAUACAGGGCUCAGAGGGGUGUGUGGAAGAAACUGCUGCUGGACCCAGGGAACUACAUCAUCGUGGCAUCCACCUAUCAACCCAACCAGCCUGGAGAAUUCUUUGUCCGCAUUUUCUCCAAGACUGGAAACACUCUGGGGACUCAGGACUUUACCUGCUCCUCUGGCUUCCUCCAGCUCAUGGCAACUCCCGUCUCCCCGGAGGAUAAAGUUAGAAUCCAGAAAACCUUUGAUGAAAAUGCUAGCCAAGAUGACAGACUGAACGCCAAGAAGAUCAUGAAGCUGUUUAACGCAGCUCUUGACAAAAAUUACCAUCUGCCACUGGAUACAUGCAGACAGCUCAUCUUUGGACAGGAUACUAAAGGGCGCGCCAGUCUCAGCCGUAAACAAGCAGAAACCCUGCUGUCUACUCUGCGCCAUCUGCAGUCCAUCUUUAUCAAGUUCGAUGAGGACUCUUCUGGGACCAUGAGCUCCUUUGAACUCAGUACAGCACUGGAAGCUAUUGGGAUGCAGUGUGACAGCAAGGUAGUUCAGCUGCUGUCUGAGCGCUUUGCAUCUGGAGAGCUUCACAUGUCCUUUCACAGCUUUGUGUCAUGUGUCACCAGGAUGCAAAAGCUUUUCGCUCUGUAUGAAUCAGAGACCAGUCAAGAAGUGAAAGACAGAGGGAUCAACCACUGGCUGCUUCAGUUCCUGAUGCUGUGAAGAGGGUCUCCACAUUAGGCCCAUCUGAGCCACAGCAUGCUGCUGAUUUUUAAACAAGGUUCAGCUUUAGUGUCAUGGAUUGAAGAAAUUAAAAAUGAAAACUCAAUUUUUUCUUAUUGUCAUUAAACAUACCAUACCAUCUGCGUACCAGUUAUAUGCAGAUCAUGUCCAGCUCCAUUUGUAAGUUUUAGGUCAUGUAGUCUUCUUCAGUAUCAAAAUGAUAUUGAGAACUGGUUGGCAGAACAUUUCUUUUAGCUUGAUUCCGAUAAAGUAGGAUGUAUGCUUCUGCGGAGGCUCAACUCAGGGAAAUGU